This 737-nucleotide ribosomal RNA is filed under the name uncultured Corynebacterium sp. RNAcentral's name for it is "bacterial SSU rRNA". It matches the Rfam family "Bacterial small subunit ribosomal RNA", at positions 28 to 776 of the family's 1533-position model. Lineage: Bacteria; Bacillati; Actinomycetota; Actinomycetes; Mycobacteriales; Corynebacteriaceae. The record is from RNAcentral.
GAUGAACGCUGGCGGCGUGCUUAACACAUGCAAGUCGAACGGAAAGGCCGAAGCUUGCUUCGGUACUCGAGUGGCGAACGGGUGAGUAACACGUGGGUGAUCUGCCCUGUACUUCGGGAUAAGCUUGGGAAACUGGGUCUAAUACCGGAUAUGACAAUCUCUUGGAUGGGGUUGUGGAAAGCUUUUGCGGUAUGGGAUGAGCUCGCGGCCUAUCAGCUUGUUGGUGGGGUAAUGGCCUACCAAGGCGUCGACGGGUAGCCGGCCUGAGAGGGUGUACGGCCACAUUGGGACUGAGAUACGGCCCAGACUCCUACGGGAGGCAGCAGUGGGGAAUAUUGCACAAUGGGCGCAAGCCUGAUGCAGCGACGCCGCGUGGGGGAUGACGGCCUUCGGGUUGUAAACUCCUUUCGCAACCGACGAAGCUUUUGUGACGGUAGGUUGAGAAGAAGCACCGGCUAACUACGUGCCAGCAGCCGCGGUAAUACGUAGGGUGCGAGCGUUGUCCGGAAUUACUGGGCGUAAAGAGCUCGUAGGUGGUUUGUCGCGUCGUUUGUGGAAUACCGCAGCUCAACUGCGGGGUUGCAGGCGAUACGGGCAUAACUUGAGUGCUGUAGGGGAGACUGGAAUUCCUGGUGUAGCGGUGGAAUGCGCAGAUAUCAGAGGAACACCGAUGGCGAAAGGCAGGGUCUCUGGGCAGUAACUGACGCUGAGGAGCGAAAGCAUGGGGAGCGACAGGG